GAUGAACGCUGGCGGCGUGCCUAAUACAUGCAAGUCGAGCGAACAGACGAGGAGCUUGCUCCUCUGACGUUAGCGGCGGACGGGUGAGUAACACGUGGAUAACCUACCUAUAAGACUGGGAUAACUUCGGGAAACCGGAGCUAAUACCGGAUAAUAUAUUGAACCGCAUGGUUCAAUAGUGAAAGACGGUUUUGCUGUCACUUAUAGAUGGAUCCGCGCCGCAUUAGCUAGUUGGUAAGGUAACGGCUUACCAAGGCAACGAUGCGUAGCCGACCUGAGAGGGUGAUCGGCCACACUGGAACUGAGACACGGGCCAGACUCCUACGGGAGGCAGCAGUAGGGAAUCUUCCGCAAUUGGCGAAAGCCUGACGGAGCCACGCCGCGUGAGUGAUGAAGGUCUUCGGAUCGUAAAACUCUUUUAUUAGGGAAGAACAAAUGUGUAAGUAACCAUGCACGUCUUGACGGUACCUAAUCAGAAAGCCACGGCUAACUACGUG
RNAcentral lists this ribosomal RNA (497 nucleotides) under uncultured bacterium. RNAcentral describes it as "partial 16S ribosomal RNA". It matches the Rfam family "Bacterial small subunit ribosomal RNA", at positions 28 to 507 of the family's 1533-position model. The record is from RNAcentral.